UACGUAGGUGGCGAGCGUUACUCGGAAUUACUAGGCGUAAAGCGCGUGUAGGCGGGGGCUUAAGUCAGUCGUUAAAGCUCAGGGCUCAACCCUGAAAUGUCGACUGAAACUGGGCCUCUUGAGUGCGGUAGAGGAGAUCGGAAUUCCAGGUGUAGCGGUGAAAUGCGUAGAUAUCUGGAAGAACGCCAAAGGCGAAGGCAGAUCUCUGGGCCGUUACUGACGCUGAGACGCGAAAGCUAGGGGAG
This 245-nucleotide ribosomal RNA is filed under the name uncultured bacterium. RNAcentral's name for it is "partial 16S ribosomal RNA". It matches the Rfam family "Bacterial small subunit ribosomal RNA", at positions 524 to 768 of the family's 1533-position model. The record is from RNAcentral.